CAGGAUGAACGCUAGCGACAGGCCUAACACAGCAAGUCGAGGGGACGACCGGCGCACGGGUGAGUAACGCGUAUGCAACCUGCCUACUACCCGGAGAAAUUCGGACUAAUACCGCAUAAUACAGGGCUCCCGCAUAGAUGGGCAUGCGUGCCAUUAGCUAGUUGGUGAGGUAACGGCUCACCAAGGCAACGAUGGCUAGGGGAACUGAAGGUUUAUCCCCCACACUGGAACUGAGACACGGACCAGACUCCUACGGGAGGCAGCAGUGAGGAAUAUUGGUCAAUGGGCGAGAGCCUGAACCAGCCAAGUCGCGUGAAGGAUGACUGCCCUAUGGGUUGUAAACUUCUUUUAUACAGCUGUAUGAAUAAGCAUCGGCUAACUCCGUGCCAGCAGCCGCGGUAAUACGGAGGAUGCGAGCGUUAUCCGGAUUUAUUGGGUUUAAAGGGUGCGCAGGUUUUAAGUCAGCGGUGAAAUCUAGUGG
This 481-nucleotide ribosomal RNA is filed under the name uncultured bacterium. Its description in RNAcentral is "bacterial SSU rRNA". It matches the Rfam family "Bacterial small subunit ribosomal RNA", at positions 25 to 607 of the family's 1533-position model. The record is from RNAcentral.